GGCAAACUCAGUGCGGGGUGCGGGGGAAGAUGAAGGGGGCAAGGUUGUUCGGGGAUUUCUUGGGGUAAAGGGGGCGUAGGUGGGGAGUUAAGGGUGGGUUGAAAUCCCCGGGCGCAACCUGGGAAAGGUAUUGGAUACUGGCGCGCUAGAGGGCGGUAGAGGGUGGUGGAAUUCCCGGUGUAGCAGUGAAAUGCGUAGAGAUCGGGAGGAACAUCUGUGGCGAAGGCGGCCACCUGGACCAGCACUGACACUGAGGCACGAAAGCGUGGGGAGCAAACAGGAUUAGAUACCCGAGUAGUC
This 300-nucleotide ribosomal RNA is filed under the name uncultured Desulfurococcus sp. RNAcentral's name for it is "bacterial SSU rRNA". The stretch from base 55 to 300 matches the Rfam family "Bacterial small subunit ribosomal RNA", at positions 550 to 795 of the family's 1533-position model. The record is from RNAcentral. Lineage: Archaea; Thermoproteati; Thermoproteota; Thermoprotei; Desulfurococcales; Desulfurococcaceae.